Molecule: ribosomal RNA, 854 nt
Filed under: uncultured bacterium
Lineage: Bacteria
Description: bacterial SSU rRNA
Rfam family: Bacterial small subunit ribosomal RNA
Source: RNAcentral
CGUGCCCUUUUCUACGGAAUAGCCUCGGGAAACUGAGAGUAAUACCGUAUACGCCCUUCGGGGAAAGAUUUAUCGGAGAAGGAUCGGCCCACGUUAGAUUAGUUAGUUGGUGGGGUAACGGCCUACCAAGACUACGAUCUAUAGCUGGUUUGAGAGGAUGAUCAGCAACACUAGGACUGAGACACGGCCCAGACUCCUACGGGAGGCAGCAGUGGGGAAUCUUAGACAAUGGGCGAAAGUGAUCUAGCCAUGCCGCGUGGACGAAGGCCCUAGGGUCGUAAAGCUCUUUCGCCAGGGAUGAUAAUGACAGUACCUGGUAAAGAAACCCCGGCUAACUCCGUGCCAGCAGCCGCGGUAAUACGGAGGGGGUUGGCGUUGUUCGGAAUUACUGGGCGUAAAGCGCACGUAGGCGGACUAUUAAGUCAGGGGUGAAAUCCCGGGGCUCAACCCCGAACUGCCCUUGAUACUGGUAGUCUAGAGUUCGAGAGAGGUGAGUGGAAUUCCGAGUGUAGAGGUGAAAUUCGUAGAUAUUCGGAGGAACACCAGUGGCGAAGGGGCUCACUGGCUCGAUACUGACGCUGAGGUGCGAAAGUGUGGGGAGCAAACAGGAUUAGAUACCCUGGUAGUCCACACCGUAAACGAUGAAUGCCAGACGUCGGGGGGCUUGCCUUCGGUGUCACACCUAACGGAUUAAGCAUUCCGCCUGGGGAGUACGGUCGCAAGAUUAAAACUCAAAGGAAUUGACGGGGGCCCACACAAGCGGUGGAGCAUGUGGUUUAAUUCGAAGCAACGCGCAGAACCUUACCAACCCUUGACAUCCUGGGACCGCUAGAGAGAUCUAGUUUUCACUUCGG